RNAcentral lists this ribosomal RNA (253 nucleotides) under uncultured bacterium. RNAcentral's name for it is "partial 16S ribosomal RNA". It matches the Rfam family "Bacterial small subunit ribosomal RNA", at positions 524 to 776 of the family's 1533-position model. The record is from RNAcentral.
UACGGAGGGUGCGAGCGUUACUCGGAAUUACUGGGCGUAAAGCGCGCGUAGGCGGUUUGUUAAGUCAGCUGUGAAAGCCCCGGGCUCAACCUGGGAACUGCAGUUGAUACUGUCCGACUAGAGUACGAGAGAGGGAGGUAGAAUUCCAUGUGUAGCGGUGAAAUGCGUAGAUAUAUGGAGGAACACCGAUGGCGAAGGCAAUCCCCUGGACCUGUACUGACGCUCAUGCACGAAAGCGUGGGGAGCAAACAGG